CAGCCGUCUCACCACCUUCCCUUAGAGAUCUGUUCCUCCCCCUAAAGGCCCUGGGGUUGAUUCCAGUGGGGCUGCCAACCACAGAUUCCUGAGCCCUGGCCACAAGAGGAUGAUGCAACCUAAGCCUGAGCCGUCAUAGAGCCCCACCCCCAGCCUGGAGCCUGAAUGAGGGGACUGAUCAAAGCUGGGCCAAUCAGCUGGGACUUCUACACAGGAAAGCAGGGGAGGGGAGAGAAGCCUUCUCAUUGCCUGGGCACAGCUGAGCUGAAUAAUAUAAGCCAGGAGCUUCUGGUGGCCAUGCCUCCUGUGCCUGUCCUCGCAAGGAUGAAGUCAUCCCCAGUAAGAGAAAAUGAGGCCUGAGCACAGAGAAAAGUCAAGACGAAUGACGGAGGCAAAGGGAUGGGAGUAGGAAGGUAACAGGAUGUGCGAUGGGACUGUUCCUGUUGUCCGGGAAUUCCAGCUAAAGCCCAGAGGCGAGGACAAAGAGGCUCUAAGCCAAGAAGCACACCACCUGCUGAAGCGAGCUGCCCACCAUGGCACACGCUGCCUACCCGGGCUCACCAAAAGGUGACCUGCUGUCCCCAUCGCUCCUUCCUAAUCUGUACGAGAUGACUGGGAAGGAGAAAAAGGGGAGACGGAGGCAGAAUCAUCUGUCCUGCGGGGAGGGCAGUGUUUGUGGUGAGAGGUGACCUCCCCCUAAGCCAAAUACUGGGACACUCUGGGGGUUCUGCCCAGAGAGGGGGCCCUGAGGGAAGGGGAGACUGGCCUGCUGUUCCCUGGUUGGCUAUUAUUUUCUAAUGUGCCCUUGGACUUACCGAAGGAAGGUGGAGGAGAAUGGGCACUGUUUCAGGAUGGGAAUGGGGCAAAGGGAGAGCUCCCUGCACUCCUACUGUUGCCCUGACAAGAAGGGAAGAAUUUCCAUUCGGGCUAAGUGGACAUCGUGGACGGUAGCUGGGCUUGGGCCCACAGGUCCUCCAGAGGACUCACCAGCAUUUGAAUAUCUGCCUCAGAGGGGGAGUCAGUCACUGUGAGCCCAAAACACAGUAACAGCGGGCCUAGAAAGGACGGCAGCUGUGGCCAGGUGGGUAAAGAUGCUCUCGUCCAGUUUCCUCUCCUUCUGCCCAGCCCAAACACACCAGUGAGCUUUGAAGCCAGAUACCCGAGGGUUACCAUAGAAAUGUGGAUGAAGACAGUGGGGACUGAAGUCAGGUUUCUGAGGGUUACUGUAGAUAUUCAAUAUGAACAUGAUUGCCUUUCACAAUUUGCUAUUUUCUUGUUUGAGCUGAGGGGUGACUCAGGGGUCAUGAGGACCUGUGAGCCUGUUUUGCUGAAGAGAGAACGCCUUCAGGGAUGUUGUGAUGACAGGACGAUCAGCCCCCCAGUGGCUGUUGACGCCCAGAAGUCAGAUUGCCCAGGAGCUUCUCUACAGUGAAAGAAAUACGGACUUACCCUUCGUUUCUCCAAAACUCCUCCUGCCAAGCCCCUUGGCUCUGUAAAACGCCCUGCUUUCUUCUCUGGUUAAGGCAGAUUUAAGAGAACCUCUCCUCCCGCCUUCUUGUUUCGGUGAAUUCAAAUAAACCUUUCUCCGUCUCCACGCAGGGAUGGCUCAGCGACUGACCUACUGCGCGUGGGUGUGUGAACUGGAGACUAAGAGGUUCCCUAUGGAGCGGGGCCUUGAAGAAGGGAGGGAGGGAUAGCUCAGAACCUGAUCACGCUCCUUCCCCAGCUUCAUUGCUAGCAGUCAGGAUUCCAGUUCAAGACCGCUCCAUGUGAGGGCAGGGGAAAAGGGAGAAGAGAUUUUAAUCAUUUGAGAUUGAAGUCUAAAAGUAGACUGGACCUUUAAGAACCAGGAAGGGGAGUCUUCCUGUGUCUGGCCGGCCCUGUCUGCCCCCAGGGAGCAUUUCCCACCCCCAACUCUGCCCUGCAGUGGGGUGGGGCCAGAUCCCCGCAGGCUGUGCUGCCCAGGCCCACAGGCCUGAGUACCUGGCUUCUGGCUCCUUUGGUAGGUGAGGGACUGGCAAGCAGGAGGAAGGGAGGAGUCAGGCAUUUUCCUUCCAUCCUCUCUGCCUCCAGUGCAGUUGCUGGCUGCCGGCUCUUCUUCUCUUCUGCCUCCAGGCUCAGCGCGGUCCAGCUUUUGCUGUUUGAGCCUCGCCUCCGGGCUGUGGGAACACGUCUUCCUCCAUUUGCCCCUCUGUUGAUAAUAUCUGGAUAGUCUUACUGUGCCCUGUUCAGCUUCUCAGCUUUUCCAUCACUUGUGUAACUUAUCAUCUGCAUCAAAUUCCCUCUGUUUCAAAUACUUAAAGUGCUUUUUGUCUUUUGAGCGGACCUUAACUCAUCUUUUUCCCCAGAGGUUUAUAAGGGUCUAUGCUGUAAAGGACGCUGCUAUAAAUAUCGCAGGGUCGGGGAUAGCAUUUGUAAGAAAUCAAAUAGUUUUAUAUUAAUAUCUUCAUCAAGACAUCUCAAUAGACUAGUUACAAACACCCCAACUCAAAUGUCAUCUCUUCAGAAGGGUAUCUCAGCAUCCCUCACCCCAGUGGCAUCCCAUUACCUUAUUUUGUGUUUUUUAAAGCCGUUUUCAGUACCUGAAUUCAUCUUAUCUAUUUAUUUGUGUCCAUGUGUAUUAUCUCCCUCCCCUCCCACUGGAAGAUAAGAUCCUUGAGGCCAGUAACUCUUGCUGUAUCCCUAUGCGCUCAAUAAUUAAUAACUGACCGGCCAGCAUCAGGACCUGGUGAAAUGGAGUGUGCGCCAUCCUGAGACGCUCCACCAGCAGCAGCGGGAUGUGAUAGUUGUACGUCUCUUGGUUGUCAAAUCUUGAGGGGAGGAUCAAAGAUAUUAAGAUGUCACAUUUACUGUUGCUGCCAUGACCGAAGCCGAAAAGCAGCACAGAACCGUGCGGAGGGUGGGCCCUGACUUGGACCUGCCUCUAAGGAGGGGUGAGCCUGGACUGCUGAGUGGGGGUGUAGGAGCUGCCUCUGCGUCUGCACCUUUAGCAGCCCUCUAGCCCAUCUCUGGCUUCAGCCACGGCUGUGGUAGGCAGUUCCACUCUGCUUUUGCUGCUGGUAUUCCACCUGCAGACUCAUGCCACCUGUCUUUCUCCAUUCCACGCUCAGACCUUCUCCCAAUGCCCGGAAGCUUUCUGGGCUGGCUUGCAAGCCCAGCUCAGAAAUGCAGAGGAGUUAAUACCCUAUAGGCAACCCUCAACCAACACAGAACGGUGGCUGAUGGACAAAUGCUCCAGCCUCCAGUCCAACAGGUGGAGACUUUCGGGAGAUAUUCUGCACGCUUCUCAGAGGUCCUGGUGGAAUUGAACUCCCACCGCUGACAGUAGUGACCUCAACAAUGCAUCCAUAGAUGAACUCUCCCCUUCUCUGUCUCACUCCCCCUGUCCCUUCACUCCUGCUUCCUGGGAUCACCUGUACCAAGUCUUGUCUCAGGCUCUGCUUUGGGGGACACUACAGUCUGGGAAAUGUUUGAUGUGGACAGAAGCAGGACUAAUGGUGGAACUUCUAAGUUAGCCUCCCUCCUGCAUGUGGGAUGCCUUGAAGAAAGCUGCAGCGUAGAUGAAAAGGAAACGCUAUACCAUCUAACAGCUGGGACACCGGAGACCAGGCGGUUCUGCUGCAGGCCCCAUAACCACCGAGGACACUAUGAGAAGCAGCGCCCUUCCUCGAGCUCUGAGAAAGCACCCCUGCUUGGACCGACUGAGACCUGUGUCAGCGAAAGCUGGGGCGGUGUGGGUGACAGGACUACCAGAACAGGGUGAUCCUGUCAGAGCCCCUCUCUUCAGGACUGCCAUGCCUUCAGCACAGCUCUCAGCAGCACCAGCUCUCCACUAACAGCCAAUGGAGCGCCGACCAACACCUGGCAAGUGAAUCUGGCUGCAGGGACAUCCCUAAGGUCCCCUCCCCCAGCAGGUGUCCACAGAGCAACACUGAGUAGGACUGAUUCCUGGGCAAAUGUAAGCAACCCUGGAAUAUUUGAAGGUAGAAUUAUUGAAAAAUAUUUGACGAAGAAAAGGAUUGAACUUUGUGCUAAUUUCACACCUAGCAGAUCAGAGCUGUAAUUGAGGCUUAAAAAGAAACACGAACGCACUUUAUCAUCACAAGUUGGUAAAGUCAGGAAUGUACUUUACAACCACUUUAUCAACAUUUAGUCAAACAUUUCCCAAAACUCAUUCAUUUGCCUAGUAUCUAACAAUUUACUAUCUGUACUAUUCGUUACUUAAUAUUUUUCUUUAAACCAAAACACUUUUUCAAACUUAAAUAUCCACUUAAGCUUCAUAUUGAAUGAAAAUAAAUGUGGAAUUAUGGAUCUGGUGCUACUUAUGUUUUUCUAACACAUAUGAAAAUAAGCACAUAACUAUUAGAAAAAUCACCUCAAUUUAUAUGUGGUAUGCGUAUUUCACAUUGGGCAACAUCGAUUAGCCAUGACUAUAAAUUGUCCUGACUUUGUUUCUCAUUAGAUUGCUAAGGUAUUACAAUGGUUUUUGCUUUCUGAGAUCUUAAUUCUCCGUGAAUUUUCCUUUGGUCAUAAUUGUUCCGCAAAGGUUGUUUCUCAGAAAGAGUACUUUCGAUACUUGACAUUCCUGAAAGUAUCUCUCUUUUGUUCUCAGUUUGCCUACCGCAAAAUUUUAAUAAUUCUCAAUCUACAGGAUUAUUUACAUAUUGCCCCAUUGUCUUCUAAUUUUUAACACUGCAAAUGAGAACUCCAACGCCAGUCUGAAUCUCUUUCUGUAGGAAAGUUUAUAGGAUUUUUACAUUAUCCUUGAAAUUCAGAAAUUUUACCAGCUAUGUCCUUGGGUGGAAUUUUUGCAGCAAUUCUGCCCAGGACUCAGUGAACCACUUCAAUCCAUAGAUAAAACAUUCUUCAGCUCAGGAAAUUUUCUUUAGUUAUUUUGUUAAUUGACACUUCACUUCUACCCAUCCUUCUUACUUAUUCUAAGACUCCUGUUAUAUGAAUAUUGGAACAUUAUAUCCAUCUCUCUCUCUCUCUUUUUUUUUUUGAAGAUUAGCCCUGAGCUAACAUCUGCUGCCAAUCCUCCUCUUUUUUGCCGAGGAAGACUGGCCCUGAGCUGAUAUCCGUGCCCAUCUUCCUCUACCUCAUAUGUGGGAACCCCACUACAGCCUGGCCUGUCAGGUGGUGCUUAGGUCCACACCGGGGAUGUGAACAGAUGAACCCCAGGCCUCUGAAGCAGAACGUGCAAACUUAACUGCUAUAUCACCCGGCUGGCCCCACCUCUCUCUUAUUUUUUAUCUCAUGAAUUUGUCUUUGUUCUGAGAGGAUUGUAUUAAUUCUUGUGAGUUUAUCUGAUAACGCACUCCGUCAGUUUUCCAUAGUAUAUAUGCAUUUCUGUUUUAUUUUUGGGCACAUACAAUCAUGUAUUUUAUUUUCAAGGACUGUUUCUUGUUCUCCAUUUCAUGCUUUUCUUCUCCUCUAACAAUUCACUGAGAUACAAAUGCUGAUGAGGAUUUUAGGCUGGGUAAUUUUAAAAAACUGCAGAUGAGAAGCAGGCUCCGAGGACUGGAAUUUGCUUGCUCUUUGAAAGACAUUUGCAUUUGUGAAGGAAGGGGGGAUGACCUUGUAGGGACCUGAAAUUGGCCACGCCAGGAUGUGUCUCUUUGGCAUCGGGAUUGUUUUGGGUUGAUUGCUUUCGAUAAACUGGGACAGGGAAGGAGGCUCUGGGGAAUGGAACUUGCCCUUCUUGGGACACAUUUACGUUUGUAAGGUAAAUCUCUAUCUGUAAAAGGUGCCUCCCUCUCUGUACCAGGAAGAAGAAGAGAGAUGACCUUGUCCCUAGAAACUCUUAAUGGGGAAGGCAAGAACUUAAGUUGAUUGCUGUCUGGUAAUCUCAUGUAACUGAUUUAGGGUGGUGGCUUCUAACCUUUCUAACCUUUACUUAAUCCGAUUUCAUUCUUGUCUAAAAGUCAUGGGAUCACCCAAUGACCAGACCCCACCUGCACUGAUACCAUUGUAACUUUUGUUCAUGUUCUUUCCUUUGUCUUGUAAAGAGAUGACUCACAUACCCAUGCCUUAUAAAAUUAGCCCUAACCCUCAACUCGGGGCAGCAGCAGCGGCUCUGCCUGCCCAUGGGCCCUGUCCCCAUGCUAUUCCACACUAUUCUCUAAAUAAAAGAGCACUACUGCCAGAUCUUGAGAGUCCAGGAAAUCUUUCUUUCGACUCCUCGGCUCACCAACCCCGCAUCAACGCGAACUUUUUAAAAGUUAGCUCCUGCUGGGGCCGGCCCGGUGGCGCAGCGGUUAAGUUUGCACGUUCCGCUUCUCGGCAGCCCGGCGUUCGCUGGUUCAGAUCCCGGGUGCGGACAUGGCACUGCUUGGCAGCCAUGCUGUGGUAGGCGUCCCACGUAUAAACUAGAGGAAGAUGGGCACGGAUGUUAGCUCAGAGCCAGGC
RNAcentral lists this long non-coding RNA (6408 nucleotides) under Equus caballus (horse). RNAcentral describes it as "lncRNA (ENSECAG00000055101.1)". The record is from RNAcentral. Lineage: Eukaryota; Metazoa; Chordata; Mammalia; Perissodactyla; Equidae.